AGAGCGAACGCUGGCGGCAGGCCUAAUACAUGCAAGUCGAACGGAUCCUUCGGGAUUAGUGGCGGACGGGUGAGUAACACGUGGGAACGUGCCCUUUGGUUCGGAACAACUCAGGGAAACUUGAGCUAAUACCGAAUGUGCCCUUCGGGGAAAGAUUUAUCGCCAUUGGAGCGGCCCGCGUCUGAUUAGCUAGUUGGUGAGGUAAAGGCUCACCAAGGCUACGAUCAGUAGCUGGUCUGAGAGGAUGAUCAGCCACACUGGGACUGAGACACGGCCCAGACUCCUACGGGAGGCAGCAGUAGGGAAUCUUGCGCAAUGGGCGAAAGCCUGACGCAGCCAUGCCGCGUGAAUGAUGAAGGUCUUAGGAUUGUAAAAUUCUUUCAGCGGGGACGAUAAUGACGGUACCCGCAGAAGAAGCCCCGGCUAACUUCGUGCCAGCAGCCGC
RNAcentral lists this ribosomal RNA (445 nucleotides) under uncultured bacterium. RNAcentral describes it as "SSU rRNA". It matches the Rfam family "Bacterial small subunit ribosomal RNA", at positions 26 to 518 of the family's 1533-position model. The record is from RNAcentral.